Molecule: ribosomal RNA, 468 nt
Filed under: uncultured bacterium
Lineage: Bacteria
Description: partial 16S ribosomal RNA
Rfam family: Bacterial small subunit ribosomal RNA
Source: RNAcentral
GACGAACGCUGGCGGCGUGCUUAACACAUGCAAGUCGAACGGAAAGGCCCUGCUUUUGUGGGGUGCUCGAGUGGCGAACGGGUGAGUAACACGUGAGUAACCUGCUCUUGACUUUGGGAUAACUUCAGGAAACUGGGGCUAAUACCGGAUAGGAGCUCCUGCUGCAUGGUGGGGGUUGGAAAGUUUCGGCGGUUGGGGAUGGACUCGCGGCUUAUCAGCUUGUUGGUGGGGUAGUGGCUUACCAAGGCUUUGACGGGUAGCCGGCAUGAGAGGGUGACCGGCCACAUUGGGACUGAGAUACGGCGCAGACUCCUACGGGAGGCAGCAGUGGGGAAUAUGGCACAAUGGGCGGAAGCCUGAUGCAGCAACGCCGCGUGCGGGAUGACGGCCUUCGGGUUGUAAACCGCUGUCGCCUGUGACGAAGCGUGAGUGACGGUAAUGAGUAAAGAAGCACCGGCUAACUACGUG